RNAcentral lists this transfer RNA (73 nucleotides) under Flavobacteriales bacterium. RNAcentral describes it as "tRNA-Arg". It matches the Rfam family "tRNA". Rfam says of the family: Transfer RNA (tRNA) molecules are approximately 80 nucleotides in length. Lineage: Bacteria; Pseudomonadati; Bacteroidota; Flavobacteriia; Flavobacteriales. The record is from RNAcentral.
GUUUGCAUAGUUCAACAGGAUAGAAUAACCGCCUCCUAAGCAGUAGAUUUGGGUUCGAGUCCCAAUGCGAACA